Molecule: long non-coding RNA, 2758 nt
Organism: Pundamilia nyererei
Lineage: Eukaryota; Metazoa; Chordata; Actinopteri; Cichliformes; Cichlidae
Exons: 6
Source: RefSeq, a predicted model, not a curated record
UGGGAAAUUACUCGCACAAUGUAACUGAAGUAGCUUUAAGUGGUUAAAGUCAUUCAAUAGUAGAUUAGCAUUAGUUUAGUGUCAUUAAGCCUCUGGACGAGUCCACUGAGCUUCAGCUGGCAGACGGCCAGCCUGUCAGCUGUCUGACAGUUAUGUUGUGAAUGCAGUGGAAGUGAGUGUAGAGAGAGGGAGAGACCAGUUUCAGUUAUUAUCAGUAACCUAAAGACUGAGGUGGUGAGAGGCGUAGCAAAGUGCAAGGCAUUGCAAUGCGACUACACUGACAAGAGUGAAAGGAUCAUCUGCUAAUGUGAUGGCAAUCUGACUUACUGACUACUGACUUAAGAGUGUCCGUGGUGUCCAGCAGGGUGAUGGUCGACAUCUGGUACGCUGGAUUCUUCUGAUACUGACUUAAGAGUGUCCAGCAGGCUGACGAUCAACAUCUGGAGUUUCGCUCUGAAUCCUGACCUCCUCUUUGUGCUUCUGUGGCUUAUGAGGCCAUAAAUUGGUCACCGUGGCGACCAGCAGGAUUAUUGAAAGUCCCCCGUCUGACUUUCUGAGGUCAGCCGUCACUUGUUCACCAUCACUCUGCUCUGCAGCUGGUCUCCUUUUCCACAGUGCAGUGACACAGUGUUGAAGAGAAAACACGAUGGCGCACUCCACUCCUCGCACACUCGAUCACUCAAAAAACGCAGGGGUUGGUCCAGGGAAUGAGGGUCGGCAACGGUCCAGCGACGAGAAACGCAGAGCUGCCGUCUUAUAAAGGAGCUGGAACACUCUCGUGAUGAGCCACAGGUGCUGUAUUCAGCUGAGACGAUGAUGCUGCUCGUCUUCAGCUGUGUGGGUGGAGCAGCAGCAGAGGUGGAGGCUGGAGGAUGGUGUGGAUGCAUUAGCACGUCUGGUGUGUAACAGCCUUUAACCUGCUCUGAGUCAGACUUUAUGACCAGACUAUCACUGCUGGGCCUCACUGACGUUCUCGAGAACAUCGUGACCCAGGAUUUUUAAAUUGAUAUCACAGGCCACAACCUUAAAGUCAAGGUCAAAGGUCAAGUGUUCUGAAAAGCUUGUGAACUCAGUUUGAUGUGUUUCAGUAGAGCUUCCACAAAUAACAGGCGAUGAAGUAAAAUCACUGUUCAGUCAUGCGUGCAGGUAAGACUGAGACUGUGACUGAGAGCGUUCAUGCAUUUAAGGUGGAAUAGAUUGUGUUCGCUCUGGUGAUUCAGCUGUUUCAGGGCUGAUCAGCUGUUCUACAACUUGUACCUCAGGGGAUUUGAGCCACCUACAGAUUCUCCUGUACCUGCCAGCACACUGACACUUUGACUAUCACAGACCUGUGUGUGGACAUGUGGACGCUCUGUGUAACAAUGAUAUUCAUUUUAGCACUACUUACUACUGACACGCAAGAGAGGAAGGUCAGUUUCCAUUUCUGUGCUUAUAUCUUACUAAAUGCAGGGUAAUGACUGUGUAAUGUGUUGAAUUUAAUGUAGUGGACUGUCUGAGCACAUCUGCUGAUAAGCUGAGUCAAUAGAAGCACAUCCUGUAGAUAAGCAGCUCUGAGAUUUACUGUCUCUGCUGCUCUGAACGAGUCCUCUGAGCUUCAGCCGCAGACACAAACCCUCAGAUUUAUCCAGUCAGAUUCAUUUACAGGACCUGAGGGAGCAAAGCAGACACAAACUGCAGAAUAUUUUAUUUAUUGGUCUGUCAGCACCUAAUCAAGCCUCUCUGACCAACUAUUGUUGAAGUGCUGGCUGAUUGUGUGAGGCUGCAGCUCCAUCUGUCUAAUGUUGGUGUAGAGAUCAUCCUUUCAUCAGCUGCUGCGACAAAACCUUAAAGCUCAGAUAGAGAUAACAGGUGUCACACAGUAACUGUGAGAUGAGCUGUAUCUGCUGCUGGGAGGCUGAGGUGGAGGUGGCUGUGAUAAAGGUGCUUAGAUUUGCACUGGGAAUGACAGCUGUCAGGUAUAAGAGUAAAUAUAUCUGGUUAGUUUGGACUGUAGAGGAUUAUAUUAAUUUGAUAUUGAGCUGAAAGUGGUGGGAGGAUUGCUGUGGUAGGUGUGACAGCAGAAGUGAGUGAUUGAAGGAGAAUGAUUAGUUUACUAAAAUGAAAUAAAAUGUCUUCACAUGUCUGUGAAAUACUCAGCUUCAAAAUAGAAAGUGCUGUCUCACUGUGACAUCUGUUAGAGGAUAGUCUGUACUGAUCUGUCAGUGCAUUAUGUGCUCAGUUGAAUCUGACAGUGUUUGCUGCCACUCACUGCUCUGGUGUGUACACAUGUUGUACGGCCAUAAAACUGUGAGAGAUUCAGUUCUUGAGUGUUUCAUGAGGCAGAUCCUGAUUGUGUCAGCACAGCUUUUGAUUUCUUAUUUCCUGAUGUUCACAGAGUGUCUCGACUCCACAUGUAGAGUUGGUUCCACUAGCCUGAGGGCUGAACUACAAACCAAGUCCAGCAUAGCUUAGCUUUCUUUGCAUUAGCUGGCUCAUAAAAGCUCAGAUAUAACAGACAUGCUUCAGUCUCUGUUUGCUCUCACACUGAAAGUGAUUUCACGCCUCCUUUCACACCUACUUCAGUCCAAAACAAUAUCAGAGGAAGUGUUGAUAGAGGUCAAUAGAAUAUAUAAGAAAUACAAUAGAAACACAGCAGUGGUGCUGAUAAGUGAGGAAGAGGAGUAAGCAGUGCUGCAGACGAUCAGUAUGGAAGCAGUGAGAGAAAGUCCACAACAAAGUUAUUAAAUCAUUGUUGACUCAUCUGAAGCUCUGAACACAU